AGUGAACGCUGGCGGUAGGCCUAACACAUGCAAGUCGAACGGCAGCACAGUAAGAGCUUGCUCUUACGGGUGGCGAGUGGCGGACGGGUGAGGAAUACAUCGGAAUCUACUUUUUCGUGGGGGAUAACGUAGGGAAACUUACGCUAAUACCGCAUACGACCUACGGGUGAAAGCAGGGGAUCUUCGGACCUUGCGCGAUUGAAUGAGCCGAUGUCGGAUUAGCUAGUUGGCGGGGUAAAGGCCCACCAAGGCGACGAUCCGUAGCUGGUCUGAGAGGAUGAUCAGCCACACUGGAACUGAGAAACGGUCCAGACUCCUACGGGAGGCAGCAGUGGGGAAUAUUGGACAAUGGGCGCAAGCCUGAUCCAGCCAUACCGCGUGGGUGAAGAAGGACUUCGGGUUGUAAAGCCCUUUUGUUGGGAAAGAAAAGCAGCAGGUUAAUACCCCGCUGUUCUGACGGUACCCAAAGAAUAAGCACCGGCUAACUUCGUG
Molecule: ribosomal RNA, 492 nt
Filed under: uncultured bacterium
Lineage: Bacteria
Description: partial 16S ribosomal RNA
Rfam family: Bacterial small subunit ribosomal RNA
Source: RNAcentral